RNAcentral lists this ribosomal RNA (256 nucleotides) under uncultured bacterium. RNAcentral's name for it is "partial 16S ribosomal RNA". It matches the Rfam family "Bacterial small subunit ribosomal RNA", at positions 524 to 776 of the family's 1533-position model. The record is from RNAcentral.
GACGGAGGGUGCAAGCGUUGUUCGGAUUGACUGGGCGUAAAGGGCGUGUAGGCGGUUGGUCAAGUCUGAUGUGAAAGCCCGGGGCUACAGCCCCGGAAGGGCAUCGGGAAACUAGCCAGCUGGAGCGCGAUAGAGGAGGGUGGAAUUCCUGGUGGUAGCGGUGAAAUGCGUAGAUAUCAGGAGGAACACCGGCGGCGAAGGCGGCCCUCUGGAUCGUUGCUGACGCUGAGACGCGAAAGCGUGGGGAGCAAACAGG